CAGCCUUUAUUGCAGGAACGC
Molecule: non-coding RNA, 21 nt
Filed under: Mus musculus (house mouse)
Lineage: Eukaryota; Metazoa; Chordata; Mammalia; Rodentia; Muridae
Source: RNAcentral